Long non-coding RNA from Lagopus leucura (white-tailed ptarmigan), 4705 nucleotides. RefSeq lists it as uncharacterized. The transcript has 3 exons. The record is from RefSeq and is a predicted model, not a curated record. NCBI's taxonomy places the organism in Eukaryota, Metazoa, Chordata, Aves, Galliformes, Phasianidae.
UGUUUGGAAUUUGCUACGUAACCAAACUGCACUCAAACUAUGCUCCAAAAGCUCUCCUUAAGACCAGCAAGGGAAAAAAUGCAACGGCACAGAAGCCUCGAUCUGGCCUGAAGCCUAGGAAAAAGGAAAGCUCAUCAGUGUGAGGUCACUUGCUAAUAUACAUGCCUGCAAAAACAAGCUGGUUCACCUCACAAGAAAUGGUCAUUCUGGACUUCCAUUUUACACUUAGCAUCACUGCUUUGCACAGACUUGAAUGGCGUUUUCUUCUCUGAGCUUCUCAGCCUCACAUCUGUGGCAGAGAGAUGAGACACGUGAGAACAGCUUCUGAGCGUCACCGAAGGAGAGAAGUCACUGAAAGCCUGACCUGCUUGUGAUCCUUGGCAACAAAGCUGCAGCUGGGUAAUUCAUAUGAGCUGCAUAGAGAUUUUACAUUUAGACUGCUUCCUUGAAUCAUGAGAAAGGGGAUAUUAACUGUACAAAACACCUGCACAAAGUUAUUUAAGAUAGCUAGUAGAAGUUUUGCACUCCAAUACUGUAUUAUACCUUCUGGUCCUUAAGUACCAGUAACGUUGUGAAUUUGAAGAGCUCCACAGCACCAUAAGCAGACUGCAGCACGGGAACUGCUGUGGCGGGACAAGGGGAAACAGGUUCAAACUAAAAGAGGGGAGAGUUGGAUUGGACAUAAGGGAGAAGUUAUUGACAUUAAGGAUGGGGAGGCACUGCACGGGGUGCCCAGAGAGGCAGCGGUGCCCCAUUCCUAAGGAAAUCCAAGAUCAGGGGAUGGGCAGUGAGCACUGAUGGAGCUGUGGGUGUCCCUGUGCACUGUGGGGAGUGGGAUCAGAUGGCCUUGAAGGGUUCCCUUCCAACUCAAACCAUUCAAUGGCUCUGUGACUCUUUAGUGUUGCCUCCGGUAUUUAGAAAAAGCAAAACAAUUCUAGCUUUCCAAGUAACACUCAGUGCUAGAAAGGAAAAGAACAAAGAGGUGAUAUUAGUGACAGCUGAAAGCAUCCUGAAAAACGUAACUACCAUCUUUCAGACAUUAACACAGAGGGCCCUGCUGUAUACGCUGCAAAGGCAACUGCAUCCAAGGGCAAAUCACUUGUGUUACGUCAUGCUAAGUCACGUUCAGAGGAGCAAGCCACACGUUUAUCCCAGCCAUGGUUAUCCACAUUCAGACACCUACCAGCAGUCAGAUUCCGAGGCACUGCUUUCUAAGGGCUAAGCUACAGAGGUUAAGGUGGCGGCCGCAGGGCAGUCAGUAGGGCUAAGGAUGGUCAGCAGGACACACUAGGUUAGUUUCUACGUGGAGCAAGCAGCAAGCUGGAGCGUUGUGGGGCUGCCACGCUUCCCACAAAGCUCUGUAAGCGUACAUUACCUCAAAAGAUCAACUUUUUGCUGCAGCUCGGUGCACGUGCUUUGUAAGCCACGCGUCACUGCGUUCCUCUCCUCCUCCUGGAGAUGCAUGGCAUUGGGGUUAACCAGAGUGGGGACCUCCUCCAGCAUCUCACUGUGCUCCUGCAGACCUGUCUUUUCUGUUGAUGCUUCCUUCAUCAUGCUGCCACACUGGGCAUGCUCAUCUUGCAGAGCCUUAAGCACUGCCGCCUGUUCUUCUGGCUUUCCAAGCUGGCAUCGCAGCCUUGACUUCUCCCUGGACACAUCUAUUUCUCCUCCAACACUUUGGGUUUGGCCAUCUUUCAACUCUCUAACUGUUUUGGGGAGCUGCAUGUUUUCCUCCCAGAGCUUCAUACUUUCCAGCUCGCUUUCUUCUAGCUUGCAAUGAAAGCUUCUCAGUUCACACAGGUUGUCUUCCAGGACUCUGUUUUUUUCAACUAACUUCAUCACUUCAGAUUUCAGGCCCUCAUUUUCUGCCUGAAUUUCUUCUUGCAGUGACAGCAGCUUGGCUUGUGCCAUCAAUCUUUCUUGCAACUCUUCAACCCUCUCCCAGAGUUGAGGUAUUGCACUUUCCAGGUCACCGUUCAUCAAUCCAGGAGCACGUUCCAGUUCUUUGACGUGCUCAAGUUCAGUCUGCAACUUUGAAGCAUCAGGAUGAAAGCUUUUACUCUUGGGAGCUGCUCUGUUACUUAGCAGACAGACAUUCUGCUGUUCAAUACCAUUCUGGAGUAUUUUUAGCCUGGGUACUCCCUCAAGAUCUCUGUUUCUUUGCAGCAGAGGCACCUGAGAACCCACCUCUAGAUCCUUGUCCAAGUCAAGGUUGCCAUCACUCUCCAGUGCCAUUUUACCCCCUGGCACGUGGCACAUCCACACCUCAGGAGCACCACUGUCCGCUCUGCUUCCAUCACACAGCUCCUCCAAACCACAACCCAUCCCUUCUUCCAGGUCUGUAGCAUCAGCCUCCAGGAGCUGAAAGCCAUCCAGAUCCGCUCCCUUGCCUUCAUCUCUACAGUCACAGGGCAGCCCUCCAAAAAGAGGAUUCACCUCGUCUAGCAGCUGCAAUGUUUGGUCAGAGCAAUUAGGCCAGGCAUGCCCCAUGGAUCUGCACUCAGCAUCUUGCAGCCUUUGCUGCAGCCUGACAAUCUCAGCAGCCAUCCUGACAUUUUCCUUCACAGCUUGCUCAUGCACUUUCUGCAGGUUUAUGAGAACAUCUGCAUCAUCUCCCAGCGGCUCCGUAGCAGAGAAAGAAGCUAUUUUGCUCUUUGCUUUGGUGUAUUCGUUUUCCAGGACCCGAUAGUGGUUCUGUAGUGCAGAAAAACUAAGGUUCUCCCACUGCAACUUCUGCACUUUUUCUUGGAGGUUUGAGAUUUCCAAAUUCAUCUCUGCCUUUUCUGCUUCUGCUUUCACACAAAUGUCUUUGUUUAAACUUUCCAAGGCCAGAAGCUUGGAAUUCAGUUCUUCCUUCUCCCGCUUAUAUUCACUAUGGAGUCUCUCCAGCUUUUGCCUGACCAGUUUCCCACUUUCCUCCACCGUGUUGAUACGCUCCUCUUUGUCCUUCAGCUCUCUCUCGUGGUCAUUUUGAAGCUGUAGCAUCUCACUGCUCAGCUUUCUCUCCUGCUCCUCAGCAGCAUCCCUCAGCUCCUGCAGCUCUUUCUGGAGCUGCUCCUUCUCGCACAUCAAUGUAUUCACCUCCUCCUUAAACUUCUUCUCCAGGAGCUCCUUCUCUUGGCUCAGGGCAACAGAUGCAGCCUUCUCAUUUGCCAGGCUUUCCUUCAGCUGCUCGUGGGCUUCAGCGACCUCCUGGGCAAUCUCAUCCCUUUCAAACUCCCACUGAGCCUUCUCCUCUCUCUGCAGUUCCACAAACUCACGCAGCUCUCGCUGGUAGCGGCCCUCCAGACUUUGGAUGGUUUCUUCAUACUUAUUCACAAGUGUUUGGGUGUCAGCAGAGAACUGGCUUUCAGCAUGAGAUGCUCUUCUGUUAUAGUCACUUUCCAUUUUUUGCCUAAACGUGGUUAACAUAACACAUUACUAAACCCUGGGCUAUCUCAGGAAGAGAUCAAUUUUCAAAGCUACUUCAACUGAAUACCUUCUCCUACUGAGUUUUAGUGGCACUACUGUUUGCUGGGUGUUUCUGAGAGCAAAAAGUUAAACGAGGCCAUUUAUUGAAACUUGAAUAAUUCAUCGAUAAUACAAUGAUAAUUGCCAUGGAUGUGUUCUCCUAUACCUGGCAUUGGAUUUGUGGGGGCAAAUAUUCUUGUCCCCAUCUCUCCCUGUCAGCCCAGGAUGCUCUCAUUACUUCUGACGCUCACUCCUGACUAGAUGCAUGUACCAACCACCUGCUUGCUUCUUCAGAAAAGGACAACUUGAAAUCAAAGGACUGUAAAGCACAGGGAUGCCAAAUGGAGCUCAAAUUAACCACGCCUGGUUACGCUUUAGCAGCACUGCUGCCUCUGGGCAAGCUAAGAGCCAGCAGAAAUAUCUGCUGGAAAAGGGUCAGAAGACACAGCUCUGUGUAUGAGCCCAUCUGGUUCUGGAAUAAAGCACUGUACAGUUACAGCACCUGAAAUGAGCACUGGCAGCGAGCUCUGUGCCAGCAUUGCUAAGGUCACAGUGCCAAGCAGCACAGAGCACAGCUGUAGAGCCACGGGGACACUCACCUCUCCUCCUCCAACUCCUGCCUGUGCUUCCUCAGCAGCUCCUCCUUCUCCAGGGCAUGUGCUUCUGCCAUCCUCUCCAGCUGCUGAUGGAAGCCGUGCUCCAGCUCUCCCUUCUCAUCCUGCAGUGCCUGCAGCAGUGCUCUCAUUUUCUCCUCUGCCCAGACACCGUUCUGGAUCAGCUCCUCCCGUUCUCGACUGAACUUCUCAUUGGCCUGCUCCAACCUGGCUCUAACAUCGUCCUCAUGUUCCUGCCUCAGCAGCUCCUGCAGAUUGGCUUUCUCCUCACUGAAGCUGACCUGCAGCUUGUUUUUCUCAGCAUUAUGUUCACAGCCAAGCUUUUCUUGCUGCUCCCUGAGUGCUGCAGCCUCUCCUUGCAGCUCUGCAACUUGGCUUCUGAGCCCAGCUAUCUGCUUCUCCAUCACACGCAUCUCCUCACCGUACUUCUUCCUCAUGUCCUCCUGCUCCUUCUCACAGUGGGUUUUUGUCUCACCCAGCUGCUUCUCAUAGUGGCUCACCUGCAGGAGGAACACAGACUUUUUCUCCAGAACAUACAACAGAAAUGAACAGGAAACAUCUCUAGAAUAUUUUCACAUAUUUUAUAGAGCAUUUUGACAUUUAGGUUGGAUGUCAGGGGGAAGUUGUGUGCUGUGAGAGUG